GUCUCAGUUCGGAUUNUAGUCUGCAACUCGACUACAUGAAGCUGGAAUCGCUAGUAAUCGCGAAUCAGAAUGUCGCGGUGAAUACGUUCCCGGGUCUUGUACACACCGCCCGUCACACCAUGGGAGUCGGAAAUGCCCGAAGUCAGUGACCUAACCGAGAGGGAGGAGCUGCCGAAGGUGGAGCCGGUAACUGGGGUGAAGUCGUAACAAGGUAAC
This 216-nucleotide ribosomal RNA is filed under the name uncultured bacterium. Its description in RNAcentral is "partial 16S ribosomal RNA". It matches the Rfam family "Bacterial small subunit ribosomal RNA", at positions 1285 to 1500 of the family's 1533-position model. The record is from RNAcentral.